Molecule: long non-coding RNA, 1335 nt
Filed under: Anser brachyrhynchus (Pink-footed goose)
Lineage: Eukaryota; Metazoa; Chordata; Aves; Anseriformes; Anatidae
Description: lncRNA (ENSABRG00000013227.1)
Source: RNAcentral
UGAGUGCCCAAGAGGAGGGUGUGCCAAAAAGAUCUCGCUGGCAGCGGAGCAGCUGGCCUCUGCUGCUAAUUCAGAUUGGCUGGCCCAGGAGGAUCCUAAUUACAGCACAACUGCUGUCUCCAUAAUCACUGCGGCAGGAGCCGUGCGGGCCAGAAGGCACUGAAAGGGACCUGGAUGCGGCAGCAGGAGGUACGGGGGCUGCUGCUUUCCGUCCUAGCCACUGAGUAGCACAGAGUCUACCAGAUGUCAGGGAGGAAGAAAUGGGUCAUCCUCAGAGCAGGCUUGUGCAAAUAAUGUCAUUGGCUGCCUGUGUGAGCGAUGGGAUUGCACAGAUAGGCUCAAGGAUAUCCUACUGACGGGGUUUGUGGGGAAAGCACUAGAAAUGUGGUGAGCCUACUCAGGUGUCAGGGGCUGAUUUGCUGAGCAGCAGCUAAUUGUGUGGCUGAUGGGAGCAACAAAAGCUGUCCAGGCAACUCCUGGUAAAGUGCUGUGGCUGUGUCAGACGUUUCCUGUGUGCCAGUAAGGAUGGCCACUUGCCCACCUGCACCUGCUGCUGACACGAAAUCAAAAGAAUGGAGCUUCUUUCCUCCUUGUUACGAGAUUUGAGGUACCACCUCUACCAACAUACACUGAUGUGGCUCCCAGCAGAGCUGGUCUGGACCCAAGUCUCUCUGAAAUGCAAGCAGUAAACAGGAAUAAGAGAGCAUGGGGUGCGUCUGCAGUGACAAAUGUGAGAUGCUCACAGCUGGCAAGUUGUGUACCACAGUCCAGAAAAAGCUGUUGCCAUUGCUGGAGGACACAUCUGGGAGAACAGACCACGCAGGCUUUAUGCUCUGACCUGCAUUUGAGGUGCUUGUUAACGUCCUGUCUCCUUGUGACACCAGCUCAGGGAAUCCUACCAGCCUGCUGCCUCCAGGAAAGGGCUGGAGGAGAGGGUUGUGUGCUCUGCGUCAGGCUGCUCCUGCUGCACUCCAUCUGCCUUGCUUAGCUGGAGCGUUCAUUGUCAAAAGCCCUCCUGAUAGAAAACAUUCUGGCUGUAAUGAAGUAUCCACAGAGAUUAAUACAGGAUUUGUUACCUAAACAUCUCCCAAAACCACAGUACUGACUUCUGUGUCCUAAUUGUCCCGCAUCUGUUUCCAGCCUCAGAAUAUUACCUUUUAGGUAAAGGAGCUGAUGUAACCAAGCUGUCUCUUGGCAUCCAUUGCUUACUAAUGCGGCUUUUGCAUUGUUCAUGAGCUAAGGAAAUAACAUUGUGCUUUAAAGGUCCGAGGAAGCUCGGGACAGUCUGUGUUCUCUAUGACUGUAUACCUUCAGAGAGCAUUUGCAAUCCUUGUA